CGGAGGGAUCAUUACUGAGUUUACGCUCUACAACCCUUUGUGAACAUACCUAUAACUGUUGCUUCGGCGGGUAGGGUCUCCGCGACCCUCCCGGCCUCCCGCCCCCGGGCGGGUCGGCGCCCGCCGGAGGAUAACCAAACUCUGAUGCAACGACGUUUCUUCUGAGUGGUACAAGCAAAUAAUCAAAACUUUUAACAACGGAUCUCUUGGUUCUGGCAUCGAUGAAGAACGCAGCGAAAUGCGAUAAGUAAUGUGAAUUGCAGAAUUCAGUGAAUCAUCGAAUCUUUGAACGCACAUUGCGCCCGCCAGCAUUCUGGCGGGCAUGCCUGUUCGAGCGUCAUUUCAACCCUCAAGCUCUGCUUGGUGUUGGGGCCCUACAGCUGAUGUAGGCCCUCAAAGGUAGUGGCGGACCCUCCCGGAGCCUCCUUUGCGUAGUAACUUUACGUCUCGCACUGGGAUCCGGAGGGACUCUUGCCGUAAAACCCCCAAUUUUCCAAAGGUUGACCUC
Molecule: ribosomal RNA, 508 nt
Filed under: Colletotrichum gloeosporioides
Lineage: Eukaryota; Fungi; Ascomycota; Sordariomycetes; Glomerellales; Glomerellaceae
Description: eukaryotic LSU rRNA
Rfam family: 5.8S ribosomal RNA (bases 187-340)
Source: RNAcentral